Molecule: ribosomal RNA, 490 nt
Filed under: uncultured bacterium
Lineage: Bacteria
Description: partial 16S ribosomal RNA
Rfam family: Bacterial small subunit ribosomal RNA
Source: RNAcentral
GACGAACGCUGGCGGCGUGCUUAACACAUGCAAGUCGAACGGUGAAGCGCCUUCCUUUUUGGUGGGUGUGGAUGAGUGGCGAACGGGUGAGUAACACGUGAGUAACCUGCCCCCUUCUUCUGGAUAACCGCAUGAAAGUGUGGCUAAUACGGGAUAUUCUGGUUCUGUCGCAUGAUGGGUCUGGGAAAGAUAUUGUUUCGGUGGGGGAUGGUCUCGCGGCCUAUCAGCUUGUUGGUGGGGUGAUGGCCUACCAAGGCGGUGACGGGUAGCCGGCCUGAGAGGGUGGACGGUCACACUGGGACUGAGACACGGCCCAGACUCCUACGGGAGGCAGCAGUGGGGAAUAUUGCACAAUGGGCGCAAGCCUGAUGCAGCGACGCCGCGUGAGGGAUGGAGGCCUUCGGGUUGUGAACCUCUUUCGCCAGUGAAGCAGGCCUGCCUCGUUUGUGGGUGGGUUGACGGUAGCUGGAUAAGAAGCGCCGGCUAACUA